UACAGAGGGUGCAAGCGUUAAUCGGAAUUACUGGGCGUAAAGCGUGCGUAGACGGUAGCGUAAGUCGGGUGUGAAAGCCCCGGGCUCAACCUGGGAAUGGCAUUCGAGACUGCUCUGCUAGGGUGCGGAAGAGGGGAGCGGAAUUUCCGGUGUAGCGGUGAAAUGCGUAGAUAUCGGAAGGAACACCAGUGGCGAAAGCGGCUCCCUGGUCCAGCACCGACGUUCAGGCACGAAAGCGUGGGGAGCAAACAGGAUUAGAUACCCUGGUAGUCCACGCCAUAAACGAUGAGAACUAGACGUUGAAGGGGUAAGCCCUGCAGUGUCGUAGCUAACGCGCUAAGUUCUCCGCCUGGGGAGUACGGCCGCAAGGUUGAA
This 375-nucleotide ribosomal RNA is filed under the name uncultured bacterium. RNAcentral describes it as "bacterial SSU rRNA". It matches the Rfam family "Bacterial small subunit ribosomal RNA", at positions 524 to 898 of the family's 1533-position model. The record is from RNAcentral.